AAAACAACGUGCCGGGAGUCAGCUGUUCUCUCGGGGUUCAUCGCACCUCAACCCCCCGGUCAGCUGUGCGCUGGCGAGCCGGCUGUGAGUCCGGUGUCAGGGCAGCAGAACCGGACGUUUCCGAACACGUUGGAGCACGUGUGGAAUUAAGUGAAAUCUUGAUAAACCGAGCAGAUAUUUCAGGCUUUGCUACUUCCGUUAACACAAUCUACUUUGACCCGCAAUGAAUCAUGGGAUAGGGUGGCCCACGAAGGAUACACCGGACCCAUCCUUCUUAUCUGGGGAAAAGAAGGACGCAUUUGUCCGCCCUAUUUGGAGGAGCCUGUGAAGCUGUAGACGUCAUUGCCUCACAGUGACGUAAUCGGCAACAAAUGCGUCCUUCAAAGAAUGCAGUUCCUCAAUUUGGACGCAGCAAUAGUGUAUUAUUAUUAUUUUUUUAUUAAACAAGCAGUAUACAAAAACUCCUUGAGGUACAAAGAAUGUUGCAACAUAGGUAUAAAAAGAAACACAGAACAUGGGGCUAAGACUAAAAACAAACACAUAAACAGUAAGGCAACUGAAUAGAAAUAGAGCGAGAUUUAAAACAAAAGAAAAGUAGAGAUAUUGGCAGUUACUUUUUUUGCAUAAACGGGUUUCAAAUGUUUCAGUGAGGUGUAAUACAGUUUAAAUUGGUUAAGAAAGGAGUAGAACAUUUCCAUUUACCGCAGUGUAUAUGAUAUUUAACAAGCAAGAAAACAAUAUUUACCAUGUCAGAUAUUUGACAAUCAAGGUCAUCAACAUAGUAUAAUAUGUGGUUGAUGGUUAUCUCUGGGAUGUCUUCGAUUUUAAGGGACAACCAGUUUUUAAUGUCUCUCCAUAGUUUAAAAGAAAAAGGACAGGAAAAAAAAGAAUGAUUACGGGAAUCGUCUGGACAUUCACAAAAGGCACAACAAGUUGAAUCAAAUUUAAAUCUUUUGUGCAAAAAUUCUGCCACUGGGUUAAUAUUGUGAGAGAUUUUGAAAUGAGUCUCUUUAACCUUAGGUGAUAUCAGCCAUUUCACAUACUUGGGGAACGCCUUCUCAAUUAAAGACAAAUUUAUUGUUACCAAGAUAUUAUUAUUGUAAUUAUUAAAUAAUUUAGAUUUGAAGGCAGUCACAAGCAUAACAUUAUUGCAUUUUCUAUCAGUCACACUAUAUUCUCAAAUCUUCAGUUUGGGUAAAGAUGAAGUAAUACUUAAAUAUCUUGAGGUGUUUUGGAUAAGAUGGAUCAGAGCUACAGGAAUAGCUUUGCAUACUUUUAGAUACUCAUUACAAGUACAGUUCAGAUUAAAUUUUUUGGUAAAAUCUCUAUGAUUUAACAAGACACCAUUACUAUCCAUUAAGUCAGUUAUAAAUAGAAUACCCUUUUCAUACCAGUCAGUUUUAAAAAUAGAUUUUCUAUUUAUUAGUAUUGACCUGUUAUUCCACACUACGGAUCCAUGUGGGGUAAAAUUGUGGGUAAAUAUCAUUUUCCAAAAAUGUAAAACUUGUUUAUGAAAAUUAGACAGUGAAAUAGGAAUCUUGGUUAAUUCAAAAUCACAUUUGAGCAGGAAAUCCAAGCCACCAAGGCUUUUAAAUAUAGAUUUAGGGAUAUGAAACCACAUUGAGUUGGAAUGAGACAAAUAAGUCUUCAGCCAAUUUAUUCUAAAUGAUUCAAUCAGAGCCUCAAAAUCUAAGGCUCUAAUUCCUCCCUUAUCAUAGUCUUUAAUAACAUGAGAUCGUCGUAGAUAGUGAGUUUUGUUCCUCCAAAUAAAUUGAAAAAUUAUUGAAUUGGCUUUCUUAAUAUUUUUGUCAGAGAUAAAAGUAGAAUGGCAUGGAUAAAUGAAUUUGGACACUCCUUCAGCUUUGGAUAGAAGGGUUCGUCCAAAAAUAGUUAGAUCUCUAGAUAACCAACGGUUCAAGGAUCUCUUCAUAUCAUCCAAGCAUCUUCCAGUGUUUUCCUCCUCUCUUCUAAUAGUAUUUUUUUAAAUCAAUAUUCCCAGAUAUUUAACUUCGGACUUAACUGUUAUGGAGGCAACAGACUUGACAGAGCUGGAAUGGAUCGGCAGAAGUUCACAUUUAUUAAUAUUAAGAGACAGACCAGACGCUCCGGAAACCAUUAAAAUGGAUUUUAGCGCGAUGUCUACCAUAGUUAUAUCUCUUAGAAAAAUUGUUGUAUCGUCUGCAAAUUGACUUAUCUUGGAUUCCUUAUGAAAAAUUUUAAUACCAGGCAAGUUAGAAUUUUUCAUAAUUAGUAAGGAAAGCAUUUGAGUUGUUAAUAUAAAUAAUUUCGGUGAAAUUGGGCAGCCCUGCCUGAUUCCUCUUGACAGAGAAACUAGGGGUCAUACUCAUUCCCAGGGAAACUGAGCUACUUAUGUCAUUAUAAAAUAAUCUGAUUAUAUUACAAAAUUUCUCCCCAAAGCCAAAAUAUUUUAAGGUUUUUAUUAUAAAGCAGUGUUCCAGUGAGUCAAAAGCCUUAAAGAAAUCCAAGAAUAAAAUAAAACUGUCACUAUCAAUAAAGCUACGAUAAUCAAUCAUAUCAAAAAUCAGUCUAGUAUGAUGUUGGAUAUUUCUUCCCUUUAAAAACGCUGAUUGGCACUCAUUAAUAAUCAUUCCUAAUCCACUGUUUAAGUGAUUGGCAUAAACAAGAACUAAAACUUUGUAAUCUGUACAUAAAAGAGUGAUGGGUCUCCAAUUGUCUAGUAAUAAAGGAUCUUUGUUGGCUUUGGGGAACAGAGUAAUCAGACCUCGUUUCAUGGUGGGAGAGAGGCUAUUGUUUGAAAUGCAUUCCAGCAGGGUCUCAAAUAAUAGUUUUCGUAAAUCUUUCCAGAAGAAAAUAUCAAAUUCAGUGGUUAACCCAUCUAGGCCUGGAGAUUUACCCUUUCCCAUUUGCUGUAUUGCUACGUCAAGCUCUCCGAUUCUUAAGUCAUCUUCCAUAAGAUUUCUAAAAUCAAGAUUAAUUUUUUCAACAGAUUCCUGAAUUUCAUCAAAAAAAUGACUGGCAAUUGGAUUCCGAAUACUUAGAACAAUAAAGAUUACUAUAAAAAUU
Molecule: long non-coding RNA, 3045 nt
Organism: Girardinichthys multiradiatus
Lineage: Eukaryota; Metazoa; Chordata; Actinopteri; Cyprinodontiformes; Goodeidae
Exons: 2
Source: RefSeq, a predicted model, not a curated record